CAGCCGCCGCGGGAAUACGAAGGGUGCAAGCGUUAAUCGGAAUUACUGGGCGUAAAGCGUGCGUAGGCGGUGAGUUAAGUCUGCUGUGAAAUCCCCGGGCUCAACCUGGGAAUGGCAGUGGAUACUGGCUCGCUAGAGUGUGUCAGAGGAUGGUGGAAUUCCGCGUGUAGCAGUGAAAUGCGUAGAUAUGCGGAGGAACACCGAUGGCGAAGGCAGCCCCCUGGGCCAACACUGACGCUCAUGCACGAAAGCGUGGGGAGCAAACAGGAUUAGAUACCCGGGUAGUCCCUGUCUCUUAUAC
RNAcentral lists this ribosomal RNA (301 nucleotides) under uncultured bacterium. RNAcentral's name for it is "partial 16S ribosomal RNA". It matches the Rfam family "Bacterial small subunit ribosomal RNA", at positions 509 to 807 of the family's 1533-position model. The record is from RNAcentral.